AGACGUCUACAUUAGACUACCCCCGUAGUCCCAGCCCUAAACGAUGCGCGUUAGGUGUAUCGGUGACCACGAGUCACCGAGGUGCCGAAGGGAACCGUGAAACGUGCCGCCUGGGAAGUACGGUCGCAAGGCUGAAACUUAAAGGAAUUGGCGGGGAGCACCACAACGGGUGGAGCCUGCGGUUUAAUUGGACUCAACGCCGGGAAGCUCACCGGAUAAGACAGCGGAAUGAUUGCCGGGCUGAAGACUCUGCAUGACUAGCUG
This 264-nucleotide ribosomal RNA is filed under the name uncultured archaeon. Its description in RNAcentral is "partial 16S ribosomal RNA". It matches the Rfam family "Archaeal small subunit ribosomal RNA", at positions 715 to 982 of the family's 1478-position model. The record is from RNAcentral.